AUAAAAUAGAAAGGUAUUAAUCUUAGUCUUCAUCUAUAUAUCUACCUACAUAUAUGUAUGUGUGAGUUUUGUAAAUUCACUGCUGUAAAUAUUGUGUGUGUGUUAUAAAUUUACCACUAAAAACAUUAAGCAUCAAUGGGGACAGUUGUCUGUAUCACUAGGUAAGAUCUAUCUGUUAAGGCAAAGGGCCUAGUGUGACUGGAAAUGGAGUGGAGUGGUCUCUCGGCAUACCAGAAGGAGAAGACUCCCAUGAUUUACAAAGGGUUCAAAACUGAGUCACUUUUGAUAACACAACCACAUUCAACUGAGUGGUUGAAGACUUCAAGUAUGCCACCCAAGAUUCAGCAGCUUCAAGGGCCAGUUCCACUUAGAAUGCCAAGAAGAAUGCCUCUGUAGUUUGCUUAUCUGCAUAGAGUCCAAAGGUCUGCCCUAAAUCAAAAGAAACAUCUUCCUUCUCAACCUGAAGAGAGCCAACUAAACGCUGGAAUUCAGACAUGAUGAGUGGAGUUGGAAAAGUCAUCUUGAACAAUGAGAUACAAGCUAUGUAUUGAGGAUAGCAGAGCAAGAGCUAGAGCCUGAGUCUCUUACAAUCAUGGAAUAACCACAAUGCUCUACAUCAUUUGCCCAGGCUUUUAGAGAAGAAAGAAAUUGCAUUUCUCUUUUGUUUGAGCUAUUGUUUUUAUUUAUUUUCUGUAACUUGUUGUUGAAUCUAAUACAUGCCAGAUCAGUCGGGUUGUUUUGAGGAUUAAAUGGGAUAGCAUAUGUCAAGUAUUUUGUACAGUACCUGGCAAAGGGGAAUGCAAGUAUUCAAUAUAUAUGACUGCUAUUAUUAUUAGGAUAAAUUGGCUUGUAAAAGAGUCACUCUAAGGGUCAAAUAAAAAAUACAAGUGAACAUGCUUUUUAAUCUGCAAAUCUAAUAAUUGCUGUAUAAAUGCUGGUCAUAAUUAUCAUUAUCAUUAUUAAAUUGUUACAAGAAAUUUGUUAACUGCCAGCAGACUCUACUUGGAGCAAUCUGUUUAGGCCAAUUAAAAAAUAGAUACAGACUUCUUUACUUUUGUUAGGUUUAUUUAGCUUUAGGCAACUGUGAAUGUUUAUAAGCUUGUCAUUAUAUUGAUGCUUUAAAACUUAGAUGAAAUACUCAUUUGGGUAGUAUAAAGAAAAUGCUUAGAAGCUGAUGAGACUGUGCCAUCUUUUAUUCGUUUACUUUUACCUUAAAAAAAUUCUACAUUACAAAAAUCAAUGUAGUGUUUGUAGUUAAAAUAAAUUGCAAUUAUAAAGACUUGAGUAAAGUAAAUGAGAAGAGUCCAUCCCUUCCUUCUCUUCUCUAUCUCAUUCUUUAGAAUUAACUGUAUUAACAAUUUAAUCAACACUUCUUGUAAGUAAAUAUCUAUUUUUUUGUACAAUGAUAUAGAUAUACAUUUUCUCUUUACAAAAAAGAAUGAUUUUGCAGGGAGUUCAAAAUAGCAGAAAAGAAACUCUUUUUGCAACAGCUUUUGGUCUGGUUUAGAUGGGCUUUCCAAUUUAAAAUAUCUCUUGAACAUCCUUCCGUGUCAGUACAUAUCCAUCUAUCUCAUUUUUAAACACCUUCUAGGAAGUUACUCAAGCAUUUUUACUAAUUAAUUGUUGUAAAAUUAUUUGUAAAACAAAGGAGAUUGCCCUUAACAUAAAACAAGAGUAGGUAGCAACUUUUUACCAUUGUGACGAUUAGACAAUUCAGCAAAGUGCUUAGCAAAAAGUCCAGCACAUAGUGAAUGAUUAAUAAAUAUAAAUAUUAGCUAUUAUGAUAUUGAUAAUAAUGAUAAUUAAAGUUGACCACCUCUCUGAGUUCGGUCUCAAUAAAUUGCUAUUAUCAGAGAAGUUUU
Molecule: long non-coding RNA, 1862 nt
Organism: Equus caballus (horse)
Lineage: Eukaryota; Metazoa; Chordata; Mammalia; Perissodactyla; Equidae
Source: Ensembl